This 379-nucleotide ribosomal RNA is filed under the name uncultured eukaryote. RNAcentral describes it as "partial 18S ribosomal RNA". It matches the Rfam family "Eukaryotic small subunit ribosomal RNA", at positions 592 to 976 of the family's 1831-position model. The record is from RNAcentral.
CAAUAGCGUAUAUUAAAGUUGUUGCGGUAAAAAAGCUCGUAGUUGGAUUUCUGUUGAGAGCGACCGGUCCAUACCAUGUAUGCGUAUCUGGCUUGCUCUCGGCAUCCUCUCGAUAGACGUUACUGCGCUUGAUUGCGUGGUGCGGAUCUCGGGACUUUUACUUUGAGGAAAUUAGAGUGUUCACGGCAGGCUUUCGCCAGAAUACAUUAGCAUGGAAUAAUACUAUAGGAUCUUGGUUCUAUUUUGUUGGUUUCUAGAAUUGAGAUAAUGAUUAAUAGGGACAAUUUGGGGCAUUCGUAUCAACACGUCAGAGGUGGAAUUCUUGGAUUGUGUUGCGACGAACUACUGCGAAAGCAUUUGCCAAGGAUGUUUUCAUUGA